RNAcentral lists this long non-coding RNA (17397 nucleotides) under Ananas comosus (pineapple). Its description in RNAcentral is "long non-coding RNA (ACOM_LNC041601)". Lineage: Eukaryota; Viridiplantae; Streptophyta; Magnoliopsida; Poales; Bromeliaceae. The record is from RNAcentral.
AGAAAGGGGAGUUUCUCUUACCCAUCCAUGUGUGCGUGUGUGUGGGUGUGUCGGCCAUGGUGGUCGGCUGAUGGAGGAGAAGAAGCUAAUUAGCUUCUUUAAUUAAUUACACCCCGACACUAUUCACUCCAGGCAACUUAAAAUCUGAUAUCUUUCGCCGCAGCUCCCAGAGUAUCCGUUUGAGCUCAAAUUUGACAGUCAUAUUCGGCUUAACGUACUGAAAAAGAAUAUACUUUAUGUUUUUAGUUUCGACCCCGUUUGGUCAUCGAAAACUGUACCGAACUAUAAUCUUUAUCAGAUAGCUUUCGGAUUUUAUUUCUCAACUUUCGGGUAUCAGAAAAAUAUGAAACUUUAAAUCUAGCCUCAUAAAAAUAUUUCUGACUUAUCCUCCAAUUUUCAUAAUUUUCUGAGACAGUGCAUUUUUUGCUAAUUUAUCUGUCUCGUUUCCAACAGAAAAUUCUAAAUCUUUUGUUUUCAUUGCGAUUUCAGCAUAAAUCAUUUCUGACUUAUAUUUUACCUCUCUAAAUCCAAUAAAAAUAGUAUCCCACACUAUUUUUAUUUAUUUUUAUUUUUUUUACCAAAAUCUGGUAUAUUACAUUCUCCACCCCUUAAAAAGAAUUUCGUCCGCGAAAUUGAAACUAUGCCUCAGUUCAGCUCCGCGAGCAAUUGAGGGUACCAACUCACUUUUCCACUCCAAAGCGGCUUCACAGUAUCGUGAUUCCAGAAGCGGCUCAUACUGAAGGACUUGGGUUUAAUCCUAGACACAUUUGCAAAGUGUGGUGCAGUAGUGCAUCACGGUUCUUGCAAGUCAUAGUGGCAGCGCAAGUCGGUACUCAACGAUUCUACGCGCUCCAACACCACUCGCCAUUUGGUACACAAAGAACUCUUCUUUGCACUGGCCUUCCCUUGAGGGAAUACCUCCCAAUUCGAUCACCGACAUUGCUUAGAAGCAAUAUCACCAAUGCAUCGCUCCGUCGUGAGUGCUCUAACUUCGCACAGACCCUUAACUUUAUCGUGAGGUGGCCCACCUCGGCGCAUCCCAAUUCCAAUCCUCAAAUUCCACGUGGCUUGCUACUAGCUCAAGGUCUCACAAAGAGCACUUCAUCUUCUGAUACCAUAUGCCACGGUCAACAUUGAACUAAUUUCGCAACGAGCUCACACGAACGCUUCGUUCAUGGAUUCGGGUCAGAUUCCUCGAUAAAGCUAUCCGCCAAACCGCUCUCUUCGGUCUCCACAGGUGGACCAAAGGCCACCAAUCCUACGUAGGCCUACCGCCUAACCUUUCUCAAUAUGCAGCGUCUCUCGCUCGCAAUGCAGACCCAAUCAUCAUUGGGGCGAAAUUCUCACUUGGGAAUUUGCACACACUCCAACCAGGAGCAACUAAGAUCCCAAACCGUUACAGAUUUCCUGGUUGGGUCACACUCGCACUCUCAGUAUACUAUCAAUCGCACUACACGCUCUAUAGCACAAUACGUACCACUAUCGGCUCCUAUGCACCUAGUGCGAGCCACCAGCCCCACGAGUGAUCCGUGGCACGCUUCACACCUAGCAAUGCUCAGGUGCUACUGCCAACACACUCAUCCGGCUGAACUAAAUCCGCGCUCCACGAGUAACUAUACUCGUGUAUCGCACGCUUCUAAAGCGCUCCACACUAUGUCCAGCAUUAGGCAACUCUUGCCUAUGCACACCGGCCACACGAGCAUGGCUCACCUACCUCCAUUCGAGGUACUACUAGGCAAAAGCGCCAGUAGUUGGCAACAAACCGUUCCAUCGGAGCAACAUCCGGAAUACUCGAACCAUUCGAGUGUCCACAAGUGUCACGUCACAACUCUCGCAAUCAGCUAUACAUUGCUCUGCGAGUUAGUCCGUCACUCCCUGUAAUACACUGGACUUUCGCAAAUUGCAGAGUUCAAGUGGGUGGAAUGAAGUGUGGAAUUAUUCUACAUGUUCUAAUUGACUUGGACAAGUUUUUGAACAAGUUAGAGGAUGAUUGGAAUGCUAAAAGUGAGAAAGUGCAUUGAACUGGCGAAAAUCAGCCUUUUCUGCUUGCUGUACCGGCACAGACAUUACCUUGUACCGGUACAAGCUGGCAGAUUCGUGGCAGCAAGGUUAGUUUUGUAAUUUCACACUUGAUCCCUAUCUAUAUGACCCCUGCACGACCCCAGGAGCUCAGUGGGGUAUGCUGGAGCUCAGAGAAAGGUUCUCCCACCUUCCUCACUCUCUCUCUCUAGGGUUUUUCUCUCUCUACAAAGAAUUCGCCGAUUUCGCUCGUUUUCGUCCCAACGUUGGUUCUUCGCUGUUCGCAUGUGUCGCAGGGCCUACGUGGACGUGUGAGGGAGUAUUUUGGAGAGUUUUUCGCAGCUCUGAACCAGUGAGGUGCUGGUUGGAGGCUUGAGAAGGUAUGUGACUCGAGUUUUCCGUUAUCGACAUUCUAUUAGUCGAUUUGAGUAUUGCUUUUGAGUUUCUGCUUCUAGCUGUAUUCUUCUGAGAUUUCAGCAACUAAAGUUGGAUUAAUUAGCUGUGAAUUAAGCUCCUUAGACUAGGGAUAAGCUUCUUUGAAGGUUAAUUGAGAGGAUUAGCCAUUUAUGAAGCUAAAUCGGAACUAAAUGCAAUUAUUGAAGCGACUUGAUGUAAUUGGGGAUUACUUCUUCGCAGCAGGUCUUCGAGCUUUGUGGAGCUGAACUUGUAUUCUUUGAAGUUGGUUUAGAAGGUACUCUAACCUAAGGUAAGUAAGAAUUUCAGUUAGGAAGCUGAAAUUGCAAGAUUCCGACCACAAUUGCUAUUAUAUGAUGAGUUUGAUGCCGUGAAAUGAAAGUGAAAAGUGAUAAUGAUAGUAAUGAAUGAGUAUCAGUUGUAGUGUACAGUAGUACUUACACUUCUAUGAUUAUGUUUACGUUCAUGUUUAUAGUAGUUGCAAUACUUCUAUUAUUCAGUUGAUUCAUUACUGCAGAAAUCAUGUUUACAUGUUGAAUACGUGCCUGUUACCGGUUAGCACUGCAUAUCUCUAUAUCAUGCACUUAUCGCUUUUACUUACUUUCUGUACAUCAUGAGCCUAGUGGUGUAAUUCGCCGAGGCUGGCGGCUUACCCACUGGGAACUAUUGUUAAUAGUUCUCACGCCCUUUUGGUGGUUGUUUUUACAGAGCAAUCUGCAGGAGAGGCUAGGGAUCGUGGCAAGGGAGUCGCGUCUAGCUAGACGUUGCUAGGAGCGUGCUAGUCGAUCACCUUGCUACUCGGGCUACGACCGAGGGUGAUGUCCCUUUGUAUAGAGAAACCCCCUUGUACCCAUCUUUUUUUGUAUACCCGUGAUGUAUAUUGUACUACUUGGACCGUGAGCUACAGUUGUGAUACUUCUCUUCUGACGAGAUUUUGGAUUGUAUACUCUUUGUUCUUUUAUUGGUAGUAUAUCGACUUGUACAUUGCUCUGAUAUCAGGAUAGGACUCUCUUUGUUUUACUUCCUAUCGACUUGCUUUCUUUGUAGACGCCUUAUAUACUGCAGGUGUAUGGCGGGUCUGUGCACGUACCGGGAUAUGCUUCCGCUGGUACCCGGGCGUGACAGAUUAUAGUGGUAUCAGAGCCUUGGGUUGAGUCUUAGUAGACCUAGCAAACCUUAGGCUGGUUGGACUAUAAGGAUGGGCUCGUGAGAGACGAUGUCUAGUCGAGGUUGUUGUUAGCGAAAGUACUUUGAUUGGGUACUUAUAAACUCCGAAUAGUAGGAGUUUGAUUGGGAUAUGCAAUUACUAACUUUGCAGAGGGUCACGUUGGCGGCCGACAACGUGACAUCGGAGGUUAGUAUGCGUUACAUCUCAUUACUUUCGCUUACUUAGCUGGUUUAUAUCCUCAAUGAGGGUUCAAUAGUAUAGGGUUUCUUGACCUAUGUUUGUUUUUGGUGCAGCAGCUUAAGAUGCCGUUGACUCGUUCGCAAGCCGCCGGGGCAGCGGAGGCGGCGGAUGCAGAGGAAGUGGGGACUUCCGUUACUUCGGGAUCUAGUGGGAUCCAUGAGUUACAGGAUCAGCUUGCGAUGCUGACGGAUCUAGUUACUCAGCAGGCUGCGGCAGCACGACAGCAGAUGGACGCUGUGCGUCGACAGGAGGACAGGAUGAAGAGGUUAGAGGAUCUGUUACUGCGACAGACGACUGACAGAGAGAUUCCAGACUCUGUACUUCUAGAUUCUGUACCUACAGCACCAGAGAGGGGUACGACUGCGAGAGCACCGUCACCGGUACCCGAUAUACCCCCAGUAGCCCCGAGGGUAGAGACCCGACAGGAGACAGUGGUACCACCACCAGUGCAUAUGGCAUUAUCAGGGACAGUGUUACCCGAGAUGGUGGGGGUUGUGGAGCGAGAGCGGAUGAUGGAACGACUGAAUGAAUUUCGUCGCUGCAAUCCUCGUGUCUUUGACGGGGAGAAAGCAGAUCAUUGGGUGGUUGAGAAAUGGUUAAUGCACAUGGAGAAGUUAUUCUAUGACACCUUUGUUGAGGAGCAGUAUCGAGUCUGGUUUGCGACACACCACCUUGAUGGUGAGGCUUACAGAUGGUGGGUGGACAUUCGUGAGGAUUCCCGUGCUGAUUUGUCUGCUAUCACGUGGAACAGAUUCAAGGAAUUGUUAUUGACUACUUACUUUCCUCAGAGUGUAAAGAGACAGAUGGAAAGGGAUCUGAGAAACCUGAGGCAGGGGGACAGGACAGUGGCAGAGUACGAGCGAGAGUUCUCCCGAUUACUGCACUGCGUUCCUUUUGUAGUUCGAGAUGAUGAGGACAAGGCUCGUAUCUUUGAGGUAGGUUUGCGGCCUGCGAUUUUCAGAUUGGUCCAGGCGUCAAACCUCUCCACUUACCGGGAUGUAGUGAACCGGGCCUUGAUCGUCGAGAAAGGGGCAGAGAUAAUGAAGAAAAGAGAUGUUGUGGAUCGAAGCAAAGGGAAGAGACCUGCAGUUGAGAGCAGUGGUCAGCAGUCCUUUAGGAGACCCCCAAAGUAUCCGAGGGGACAGUCAGGACAGUCGAGGGGUCGAGGUUCUUCGGCGCCCCGUGGAGCACCUGAGCGUCGUCGACCACCGCGUUGUAUUAUCUGUGGUGGGCCUCACGUACCACCACAGUGUCCACAGCGUGGGGGCAUGUGCUUUCUUUGCGGCCAGGAGGGCCACUUUCGUUCAGAGUGCCCGAGAGGUUCUUUGCUUGCACCCUCGUCAGCGACCGCACCUGCAUCUUCAGCUCCGAGCCAGGGGACCCCGACAGCACCCUAUCAGUCUAGGCGACCACCAGGACAGCGGCAGUCGGAGAGUUCGCAGCAGGGUUCGAGUGGGCGGAUGUAUGCCGCCCAGACCGAGGGCGCCGCAGCAGCACAGGAGGUCGUAGCAGGUAUCAUUAUGCUUUAUGAUAUUCGUGUUCGUGCAUUAUUUGAUACUGGUGCUUCGCAUUCUUUUAUUGAUCGGCAGUUCGCCGAGUUGCAUAGCAUUUCUUUAGCACCUACUUUGCAUCUGGGACGAGUGAUUGUACCUGACCAUACCCUAGAUGUUCGUGAGUUUUGCCCUCGCUGCCCAGUUAGGGUAGGCGACUGGAUUAUGCCAGUGGAUUUAUUGGCACUACACAAACUAGGUGAGUUUGAUGUAGUAUUGGGUAUGGAUUGGUUGACACGGUAUUAUGCCACCAUAGAUUGCACGUACAGAACGGUGACCUUUAGGGAACCGGGUCAACAAGAGUUUGUUUAUAAAGGGUGCCAGAGUUCAUUGUUCGCAAUGACUAUUAGUUCUUCGCGAGCACGACAGAUGAUACGGAGAGGAUGUGUAGCCUAUUUGGCUAGCAUUUCUGUGAGUGACGGAGAAGCCGUCAAGAUUGAUAAUAUCCCGGUUGUGCGAGAAUUUGGGGAUGUGUUUCCAGCUGAAUUACCGGGUAUGCCACCUGAUAGGGAGGUUGAGUUUGUAAUAGAUUUUGUCCCUGGGACUACCCCUAUUUCUAAAGCGCCCUAUAGGAUGGCACCCGCUGAAUUGAAAGAGCUGAAGGCACAGUUACAAGAUCUUUUAGAUAAAGGAUUUGUUCGACCGAGUGUUUCGCCCUGGGGAGCACCGGUGUUAUUUGUCAAGAAAAAGGAUGGAUCUCUUCGAUUGUGCGUGGAUUAUCGAGAAAUCAAUAAAGUCACAAUCAAGAAUAAAUAUCCAUUGCCCAGAAUUGAUGACUUAUUCGAUCAGCUGCAAGGAUCAAAAGUAUACUCCAAAAUCAAUUUGCAAUCAGGCUAUCAUCAGCUUAAGAUUAAGCCUGAAGAUGUUUCUAAAACUGCUUUUAGGACACGGUAUGGGCAUUAUGAAUUUACAGUCAUGCCGUUUGGAUUGACUAAUGCCCCAGCAGCCUUUAUGGAUUUAAUGAACCGUGUCUUUAAACCCUAUCUGGAUAGGUUUGUGGUCGUGUUCAUCGAUGAUAUCUUGAUAUAUUCUCGAAAUGACAAGGAGCAUGAAGACCAUUUGAGAGUGGUGAUACAAGUACUUCGAGAAAAGGAACUAUUUGCCAAGCUAAAGAAAUGCGUUGGCUUCAAGAAGUGGCAUUUCUGGGCCAUGUGAUUUCAGAAACUGGGAUAGCUGUGGAUCCCAAAAAGAUUGAAGCGAUUAAGGAUUGGCCUAGGCCGACCAGUGUCACUGAAAUUCGGAGUUUCCUUGGUUUGGCGGGAUACUACCGAAGAUUUGUAGAAGGAUUUGCGAAGAUGUCAACUCCUCUCACUCGACUCACACAUAAAGGAGCUAAAUUUCUGUGGAAUGAAGCUUGUGAAAGAAGCUUUCAGGAGUUGAAGGAACGGUUGACUACCGCCCCGAUUCUAGCUUUGCCUAUUACUGGAGUGGAUUAUGUGAUUUACAGCGAUGCAUCACUGAAUGGAUUAGGGUGUGUUCUAAUGCAGAAUGGCAGAGUAAUUGCUUAUGCUUCUCGCCAAUUAAAGGAUUAUGAAAAGAACUACCCUACACAUGAUCUUGAGUUAGCAGCUGUGGUAUUUGCUUUAAAGCUUUGGCGCCACUACCUCUACGGCGAGCGUUGCGAAGUUUAUACAGAUCAUAAAAGCUUAAAAUAUCUGUUUACACAGAAGGAAUUAAACUUGAGGCAACGUAGAUGGUUGGAGUUACUCAAGGAUUAUGAUUUGACCAUCCUCUAUCAUCCUGGAAAAGCUAAUGUCGUAGCAGAUGCUCUAAGUCGAAAAUCGACGGAAAAUUUGGCGAUGUCGAUAACAAUGCAACCACUGUUGGUAAAGGAAAUGGAACAAUUGAAUUUGGAAGUUGUAGCUCCUGAUACGCCUUGGAGACUUAUGUCACUAGUGGUGCAACCUACCCUGAUCGAGCGAAUUAGGGAAAAGCAAACUCAAGAUGAAUUCUUGCAAAAGAUUCGAGAUAAGAUCACUGGUGAUCAUGAUAGUGAUUUUCGAGAAGAUGAUCAGGGAUUAUUGAAAUUUGGUGAUAGGCUAUGUAUAUCGGCAGAUUCUGGUAUUAAAGAAGAGAUUUUAGCAGAAGCACAUCGGGCGCCGUAUACUGUACACCCUGGAAGUACGAAAAUGUAUAAGGAUUUGAAGUUAACCUACUGGUGGCCUAGAAUAAAAAAGGAAGUUGCAGACUACGUGGCCAAGUGCUUAACUUGUCAGCAGGUUAAAGCUGAGCAUCGACUUCCUGCGGGGAAACUUCAGAGCUUACCCAUACCAGUGUGGAAGUGGGAGAGGAUCACUAUGGAUUUCAUCGUUGGAUUACCUCGCUCACAAGCAGGUCACGAUGCAAUUUGGGUAAUUGUCGAUCGAUUGACUAAAUCUGCCCACUUUAUUCCAAUUCAUACUGUGUGGUCGGGGGAAAGACUCGCACAAGUGUAUCUUGAUGAAAUUGUGCGAUUACACGGAGUACUUGCUUCUAUUGUUUCAGAUCGAGACACCCGAUUCGUUUCACAUUUCUGGAAGAGCUUACAGGAGGCUAUGGGUACCCGACUGGAUUUUAGUACUGCUUUUCACCCCCAGAGUGAUGGGCAGUCUGAGCGUACCAUCCAGACUCUUGAGGAUAUGUUGCGGGCCUGUGUGAUUGACUACCAGGGCAGUUGGCCACAGUUCUUGCCUAUGGCUGAAUUUGCUUAUAACAAUAGUUAUCAAGCCAGUAUUCAGAUGGCACCGUUUGAAGCCCUUUAUCGUAGAAAGUGUAGAUCACCACUUCAUUGGAGUGAAGUGGGUGAGAGAUUGGUUUUGGGUCCAGACGUAUUACAAGAGGCUGAAGCUAAAGUUCGACUUGCGCGAGAACGUCUACUGACAGCCCAAAGUCGACAAAAGAGUUAUGCGGACAAACGUCGGCGAGAAUUGGAAUUUUCAGUUGGCGAUCAUGUAUUUCUGAAGGUUUCACCAACGAAAGGAGUUAAGAGAUUUGGUAUUCGAGGAAAGUUGAGUCCUCGAUUUAUUGGACCCUACGAAGUGUUGGAACGAGUAGGCCCCGUAGCUUAUCGGCUUGCCUUGCCGCCGAACCUAUCGGGAGUCCACGAUGUAUUUCAUGUAUGUACUCUACGGAAAUAUGUUUUUGAUCCAACUCAUAUAUUGGAGAGUAAUCCAGUGGAUUUACAUGAAGAUUUGAGCUUCGAGGAGCAUCCAGUGAAGAUACUAGCUCGAGGAGUAAAACGGCUUCGAAACCGCGAGAUCCCCUACGUAAAGAUCCUUUGGAACAAUCAUGAUGAACGGGAAGCUACUUGGGAAUUGGAGAGUGCAAUGUUAGAGCACUACCCCUACCUUACUCGAUAAAAUCUUGAGGUAAGUGUUUACAAGUUUCGCGGACGAAACUUCUUUUUAGGAGGGGUGAAUGUAAUACAUUGGACUUUCGCAAAUUGCAGAGUUCAAGUGGGUGGAAUGAAGUGUGGAAUUAUUCUACAUGUUCUAAUUGACUUGGACAAGUUUUUGAACAAGUUAGAGGAUGAUUGGAAUGCUAAAAGUGAGAAAGUGCAUUGAACUGGCGAAAAUCAGCCUUUUCUGCUUGCUGUACCGGUACAGACAUUACCUUGUACCGGUACAAGCUGGCAGAUUCGUGGCAGCAAGGUUAGUUUUGUAAUUUCACACUUGAUCCCUAUCUAUAUGACCCCUGCACGACCCCAGGAGCUCAGUGGGGUAUGCUGGAGCUCAGAGAAAGGUUCUCCCACCUUCCUCACUCUCUCUCUCUAGGGCUUUUCUCUCUCUACAAAGAAUUCGCCGAUUUCGCUCGUUUUCGUCGCAACGUUGGUUCUUCGCUGUUCGCAUGUGUCGCAGGGCCUACGUGGACGUGUGAGGGAGUAUUUUGGAGAGUUUUUCGCAGCUCUGAACCAGUGAGGUGCUGGUUGGAGGCUUGAGAAGGUAUGUGACUCGAGUUUUCCGUUAUCGACGUUCUAUUAGUCGAUUUGAGUAUUGCUUUUGAGUUUCUGCUUCUAGCUGUAUUCUUCUGAGAUUUCAGCAACUAAAGUUGGAUUAAUUAGCUGUGAAUUAAGCUCCUUAGACUAGGGAUAAGCUUCUUUGAAGGUUAAUUGAGAGGAUUAGCCAUUUAUGAAGCUAAAUCGGAACUAAAUGCAAUUAUUGGAGCGAUUGAUGUAAUUGGGGAUUACUUCUUCGCAGCAGGUCUUCGAGCUUUGUGGAGCUGAACUUGUAUUCUUUGAAGCUGGUUUAGAAGGUACUCUAACCUAAGGUAAGUAAGAAUUUCAGUUAGGAAGAUGAAAUUGCAAGAUUCCGACCACAAUUGCUAUUAUAUGAUGAGUUUGAUGCCGUUUCGAUUUUGUUCGCAGCGUGAGUGCGAUCGAGCCUUGGAUCAUCGUUAGUUGACUUGAGAGAGCUCUUGGAGACUUAUCUUGAGGUAUUACACUAGUCCCAAAACAGGGAUUUAAGGGGUUACUUUGUACUAAGUGUAAUUUAGGCCGAAAUCGGAUAUUCCGGUCGUUAUUUUGACGCGGUGUUAAUGUUUGUUUUCAGCAAGAUUGGAGCCGACUUUUUACGACUUCUUGUGAUUAUUGGGAGCAUAGUACUAGGUGGGUUUGACCUAACCAGAGCAAGUGAAGCUCCCCUAUGUUCUAUAUGUAUUAUAGACGUGGUUUAAUUAAAUGCCUAUGUGAUUGUUAAAGGGCUCGGAAUUCGUCAUCAUGACGUUUAUCAUAUGUGAAAUGAGCGUUCAUGCAUAAAAGUACUGAUGCAUUAAAGUAUUCUUAUUUAGCUCAGUAGAACAACCAGGAGAUCAAUUUAUUAUGUUUGUAUGAUAUAGAAAACAUAUAUACAUGAAAGUAUUUCUAUUCAUAUUCAAUACAGCUGAAUGGCUUAUGAACAAGUGUAGGAUGCACUUUAAAGUAGAGAACAAUGACAUUCUCCUGACUCUAACGUAGAGAACUAUGACAUGCUCAUGACUAUGUUGAUAGUGCCAUACUAGUGGAAAGAUUAUAAUGCUAUGUGAUUUAGCUUUACCCUUAAAUGUUUACAAUCUAGUGGAUACUAGCUUUUGUUACUAUUUGUGUAUUGACAUUCCGAUCAGAGGAUCGAGGGUAAGAACUUUGCAACUGAAAAUAUGAAAAUUGAGACAUGUGGAUAAUGGACUUUGCUUGCUUGCCAUCGUGCUCAUUCGCACACGCUUGUGAGGGUAGCUCCCUACAAGCCGGCACUCCGGAGUUGGCCUACGCGACAGUUGCUCGCCNNNNNNNNNNNNNNNNNNNNNNNNNAUAGAAUGAAUAACAACUAGUAAUAUCAGAGCGAGUAAAGUUCUAUCAUCUAAACCAGAGUAAAAAGAAACAUAACUAAACCAUAAAAGAAAAUAUAAGAAGUACAAUAUCAGUGUCUAGUACAAAAAUGGUGGUCUCUAGUACACGGGUAAACUCUCAACCUCUCACAAAAUGAAACGUCGAGAGGUAGACCACCUAUCGAAUCGUCCUCGAAGGAAGCUAGCUCGAAGCAACUCCCUUCCCGCGGUCCCUAGCCUCUCCCGGCGUGGAAGGCUCUGAAAGAAGACAUAAAACAGAGGGCGUGAGAACUAUAAUUUAUAGUUCCCAGUGGGCAAUUACUGCCCUCAGUUCAAUGCACCACUAGGCCCCAAAAGGAAAGGGUAAGUCGGAAGCAAUGGUAAUAACGAGUAAUUUGCAUUUAUGAAAGUAUAAUGAAAAAGCUAAACUAUUACUUAAAAUUAAACAUGGCAUUUAUGUAAUGCACAAUUAUCUUGUCAUGAAGGAUACGUCUCUACUUAGCCAUAAAUAAUGUCAUGGUUUGCUUAAUAAAAUUAUGAGAAUUAUCCUUUAUCAUAGCAACAUUGUUUAUAUGAAUGCAAAUAAGCAAUGUCUCCUAGCAUACUACAUGUUUGUAUGUAUAUCCAAAGUCCAAAUCUAUGCUAGAAGCAAGUCUGAGUAAUCUAACUACUACUCUCUAUUUAGUAGUGAUUAUAAUAAACUCAUCCCGUGUCGAUUUCCAUUUCCAAUUAAGGACCUACCAAAGGUAGUCCAGCUUGUGCCGCCUAAGUGCCUGUGGUAGCCCGACAUCCCUACUCUCGAAAUGUGUCUAUCCCACUCGACCCCGUAGGCUACUCAAUACCGCACGAGCGAACAUAAGUCGCGUAGGCUAACUCCGGAGUGCCGGCUUGUAGGGAGCGACCCUCACAAGUAUGUGCGAAUGAGCACAAAUGGCAAACAAGUAAGGUCAAAGUCUCAAGUACUCUACUCUCAUGCCUCUCACAUGGCAAGGUCACUAGCACCCCAAGGAUCUAGUCCAAAGUCUCAAAGUGAUGCUCCAACGCACACACUUGCUUAGUGCCUCUUUACGACACUUAAGCAUCACAACUAAUCAUGCCCAAUUCAUGUUCCACAUUCCAAUUAAAACAAUACUAGCAAGGUUCACUUUAGCCCGGGCCCAAUGCCUCCUUAUGACAUUGGCCCAAUCUCUCAAAUAGUCUAGGUCCUCAAGCCUCUUUAGGCUUCCAAAAAUCCCUAAUGUCACAAUUGGCAAAUAAGCUAAAUGCAUGAAAGCAAGGUUCAUUUUCAUAAUAGGGAUCUUAGUUUCAAAUCUCAACCAGAAUGCUACAUCACACAUGCAUGCUCUCUACUACAUAGAGGCCCAAAAUUUUACUAUAUGCUACAUAGGCAUUUUAAGCAUUCUAAAAUUCACAAUAAAUACAUAUAACAAGAAUAUGCAUGCUUUUUCAUUUUAUAAUACUUAAAUCAUCAACAAUGAGAUUUUCUCAUUGUGUGGCUAGGUCAAACCCACCGAACCGUCGCGUGCUCCUUUGAUUCGCCGAACGGAGUUGUCCACGAGCCUCAAAAUACCCUAAAAGUAUUGAGCGAAGAGAUACACGGGCAUUACGAUCAACUAUAGGAUCAAACAUUAACCUAGAAGCAAAAGGGCCAAAACUCACCUCAAGAGUAGAAAUCCUCUCCAAAGCUCCAAAGGAGAGCUAGAAUCCUUGUAAUCCAAGCCCAAGGAAGGUUCCAAUCCAAAAAAUCUAGCCCCAAAAGCCCUAGAUCAAAAAGCCCCAAAAUCAACCCUAAAACCUCAUUCUAGGGUACCAACACAAGAAAACCUCAAAUCCAAAGUCUAGAUGGAGAGAAAGGGCUACCAACCUCUAAGAAGCUUCAAUCCAAGCUCAAAGGGUGAAGAUCUUCUCUCUUGCAAGCUCCAAGUCCAAGCUCCAAGCACCAAGGAAGAAGAGAGGGUGAGGAAGAUGCUCCAAGUCCACUAGUUGCUCUCAAUCAUCAUCUUCUUCCUUCCUUCUUCUCCUUCUCCUUCUUCUUCUUCUUCUUCUCUAUCAAGGGUGUAGAGAGGGUUAAGAGGAGAGAAAUGAGGAGAAGAGAGAGUGGAUGGGUCAUAUAGACCCUCUAUUGCAACAAAAUCUAGCUAGGUCCCUCAAAAAUCGAAUAUUACAACAGCCCAGUCUGGGCAGUUUUCGCCCAGAGGGACCGGUCUCUCCCUGCAAGGGACCGGUCUCUCGCUGCGAACCCGAAAAACCAACGUUCGGGAAUCGGUCUCUCCCCGCGCGGGACCGGUCUUUCACUGCGAGAACGCGCUCGGGGAUCGGUCUCGCCUGCAAGGGACCAGUUGCCUCAGGGCUGCCGCAACACUUCUCACUGGGGGACCGGUCUCUCUUUUCAGGGACCGGUCCUUGAGAGUAAAAAUUCUCAAGACUCGUCCAGAACUCAGGUUUUCGAACUUCUUAGGUCGGAAAACAUUCUACAACCCUCCACCAAGUGUGGGAAAGCUUGAAACACAUCCAAUCACUCGAACCUCGCAAUUUGCAAAGGUCCAGUGCGUCACACUGUCCCCUUGGGACCGGUUCCCGAGAGCUGCAUUUCCAAGACUUAGCCAAAUCUUCAGCUCCCAGACUCCACACGCGCUCGGGGACCGGUCUCCCCGACCCGGGACCGGUCCCUGAGAGCUGAAAACCUGCAGCUUUGCAAAUUUUCAAUUCCAACGCUCUCAAAGACCUCUCCGAGGCACUUUUACUCGUUUUGACGUCCUCGGCCCCUCCAAAGCAUACCCAUUUCACACUUUGGUCACUUUGACUAAAGUUCGAUAUUUCGACCACCGAGUUUCGAUAUAUUACACCUACAAUUUUUUUGGAGUCUCUUAAUUCGCUCCCCCUGGUGCAUAGCAGCCUCCUGCUGCCGCUGCACCACAUCAGCUUGUUGCCUCACCACACCACAAGUGUGGCCAACUGUUCGCGAAGUUCCAAGUCUCAGCUCGCCUCGGAUUGCUCAGGGACAUCACUUGUCCCACCCCGCGUCGAUCUAAACGAAGAUCGCCUACGCGGUGCCAUCGUUACCUAGAACAUGACAACUCAACUAACUCUCAACCUUCUAGGUCGAGUAUGAAACAACCGACAUCAACUCAAAUCGGGCGAAAGUCAUACAAGGGCAUCUAUUCUCAUCACUCGGUUUCAUGUUGUACGCGUCCAACAUGAACACCCUCGGUUGAGAAUAGACCACACCUUGGAUCUACCUCUAAUAUCCUUUUUAGAGGUUUACAACACAACCCAAUCCCUUAACCUUUCGCCAAAAGUCACAAGUCCUCGUCUCUCACGAGCCUUAAUCUCCUAUGGUUUACUAUCCUAGGGUUUCCUAGGUUCAUCUAAACCACUUUCCUAUUCUCUACUUUAUGCUCUGAUACCAUAUUAUCUGUCACGCCCCUAGCCCGCCUCUUUGGUCGGAUUCGGGCACGCCAACAGACCGCCGAACGGACAGGGUUUCCCCUGCACACGGACAGAGUCUCCCCUAUACGUUCAAGGCGUCGCAAUCAAUACAAGUACAAGAGGUUCCAAACAGGAACAAUUUUCAACAACGAUUGCAUAAGGAAGGUAUCAAACAACAUAACACAUCCUAUGUUAUUACAAUCAUUCAUCUCAUCAUUUUACAUCGCAUUUUUCAUUACAUUGAUCCUCAACUUCCAAAUAUACAAUCGAUUUCUAAACAUAAUAUUACAACAUCGAUUCUUUUCUUUUCUUUUCUUAUACCUCUACGAAGCCGACUCAGGGUGCUGCUAUUUGGUCUCAGUGGUAGGGCGCUAACUACGGAGCUACGUCCUUUCCUCGCGCCGCCUCGCCGCUCGCGUGUGAACCUGUACCCCCAAAAACAACAACACGGGGGUGAGACUAUUGUCCAUAGUCCUCAGUGGGUACAGCCACCCAAAGGAAGAGCUCAACCCACCAGGUCCAAAGGAGGCACUGCAACAUGUUAGUCCAACAGAUAUAUAUACAUAUAACAUCAUGCAAUACAUUUCUUCAGAAAUAUGCAAAUUAUGCAACUUAGUCAUUCUUAACAGCAUAGCUUUCUUAGAAUAUGCAAUCUUAUUCAUUAGCCAUUCUUUAUUCUUUAUCUUUAUUCGUUUACUUCUUUAUUCUUUAGUUAUUCUUUUUUCUUUAUCCUUUACUAAGGGCACUCGUGCCUUAGGCUCAUUCAUACACAUUUGCAUUCUUUUAUAACAUUAAACAGUCUUUCUCAUUAUCACUCUCUUCCUAAGGUUGCAUAUCUUAGGACUAUGCACUAUUUGUUUGACUCGCGGUCUUGGUCACUAUUCAUAAUGAUAUCAGCUCACACUUUCCAAUUCAUGAUCUUUUUGGCUAAACUAUCCGUAGUAGCCAAUUAACCUUGCCUUCAAGCAUUUAGUCCAUCAUCGGCAGGAACUCCAACCCGCUAGGACGCUUGGUUACUUCAUCGGCGUAGAUGCAAAACUCGGACGCAAUCGUCGAGGGGAGCGCUCGCCCUCGGCACGAACUCAUAGCUAAGUAUUGAUCAAUCCUUACUCUAAGGAUAUGUGAGUAUGAUCAUUGUUUUACACUAACUCUAGGUAUUCUUACAUCACCAUUAUGCUAAAGCUAGCAUCAUUAUUCUUUAUAUCCGACAAUUAACAAAUUACUUUAGUAUUAUCAUUCUUUGGAUACCACACUUGUUCUUGUUAUGCACAUCAUCUAACUCUAGUGUUCUUUAUGUCAGCAUUGUUGCUACUCUAGCCAAUUUCUCGCUGUGUUCUUUCACUUGCUUGUUCUUUAUGGCCAGCUUACUAUUACAUAUGUCUUUACCAUUAUCCAUUAUUCUUUACACUGUUGCUUAUUCUUGUAUGCACAUUACCUUACAUUGUCUCUACAUUACUCAUUAUCUCUUUCACUUUGCUAUUAUUCUUUAUGCACUUACCUUCACAAUUGCCCCUAGCCAUUACAUUGUUCUUUACAACAAUUUAUUUUGCUUUGAUGUCUCGCACAGCUAACUCUAGUGUCUCACUUUACAUUUCCAAAUAGCCACUCUGAUCUAUGUUAUUAGCGGAUAUUACUUGUCAUCGCAUUGGUAGUCAUCACUUAGCAUUUAUGCAUGAGUACACUAACAUUUACCACAUUGCGAUUCUCGUUAGCUAUAAAUCUCAUAACUUACGUUUUGACAUAUUUAGCAUUUCUAUAAUAUACUCAUGUAAAAUAUACAUCAACCUCAUACAUUCUUACAAUUGCUCUAUCUUAUCAUGCAUUCUUUAAAUAGUAGACCUUUAAUCUUUAUCAAUCAUUCUAUAGAUACACAUACUUUAAUCUUUAAACAGUGCAGUUCGUUGAAAUGCGAGCAUACUAUAAUUUUUAUCAUGGCAGUGUUCUUAAAUAGCAAUACUUUAUCAAUGCCAUCAAUAGUAAACAUACUAUUUAGCAAUGGAAAGCGAUCCGUACAUCGCUUCGGUGAGACCAGACCCACUCAAAACGCUUAUCGCGAUUGCUUGCGACACUGCAUCAGCUCGCGCUCCGAAAACUCCGGUUUGGGCCCGAUCUUUGCACGCCGACGACCCGAACAGCCUCCGAUCCAUAUCCGAAAAUUAAAAGGUCUUCGGUUAUGUCACGAGGUGCGUUCAAAUGCCAUUCCACGAUUUGACGCGUCGCCUCGGCCCUCUAGGUCGGUAAGAAGUCUAAACGUCCGUUUCUUUAAUAAAUUGUAACGGUCGUCGGAUUGCGCGAACCGUCUUUGCCAACAGCGUUCGUUUUAUCAUAGGCAAUUUGGUUAUACGGAGGGUCAAUAAUUUGAUCAUAACCCUCAUACUUUUCAAAAUUAGGCAUUUGUGAGGCCCUACGUCAUGACAUAUAAUCUCCAGAAUAAUCCAAUUAAAUGGAACAACAUCUAUCAAUAGCUCAUCAGUAGAGGCUAUCUAGCUGCACUUAAAGGCUAAGGGAUUAAACCAAAUCCGAAAAGCUUAACUAAUGUGAACGCCGGCAAAACGAAACACAGAACCGCUCCAACGGCGCACGAAAGCUCGAUCUCGCCCUCCAACGCGUUCGUAGACUCGAUCUCCACCAACCCUCCAAUUUUUAAAGAGAGAUAUAGAGAGAUGAGAGAGAUAUUUAGAGAGAGAAAGGGGAGUUUCUCUUCCCCAUCCAUGUGUGCGUGUGUGUGGGUGUGUCGGCCAUGGUGGUCGGCUGAUGGAGGAGAAGAAGCUAAUUAGCUUCUUUAAUUAAUUACACCCCGACACUAUUCACUCCAGGCAAUUUAAAAUCUGAUAUCUUUCGCCGGAGCUCCCAGAGUAUCCGUUUGAACUCAAAUUUGACAGUCAUAUUCGGUUUAACGUACUGAAAAAGAAUAUACUUUAAGUUUUUAGUUUCGACCCCGUUUGGUCAUCGAAAACUGUACCGAACUGUAAUCUUUAUCAGAUAGCUUUCGGGUUUUAUUUCUCAACUUUCGGGUGUCAGAAUAAUAUGAAACUUUAAAUCUAGCCUCAUAAAAAUAUUUCUGACUUAUCCUCCAAUUUUCAUAAUUUUCUAAAACUGUGCAUUUUUUUGCUAAUUUAUCUGUCUCGUUUCCAACAGAAAAUUCUAAAUUUUCUGUUUUCAUUCCGAUUUCAGCACAAACCAAUUCCGACUUAUGUUUUACUUCUCUAAAUCCAAUAAAAAUAGUAUCCCACACUAUUUUUAUUUAUUUUUAUUUUUUUUACUAAAAUCUGGUAUAUUACACUGUGUCACCGUAUGCGG